This 253-nucleotide ribosomal RNA is filed under the name uncultured bacterium. RNAcentral describes it as "partial 16S ribosomal RNA". It matches the Rfam family "Bacterial small subunit ribosomal RNA", at positions 524 to 776 of the family's 1533-position model. The record is from RNAcentral.
CACGUAGGGGGCUAGCGUUGUCCGGAAUCAUUGGGCGUAAAGCGCGUGUAGGCGGUUUGUCGCGUCUGCUGUGAAAAUCCGGGGCUCAACCCCGGACUUGCAGUGGGUACGGGCAGACUAGAGUGUGGUAGGGGAGACUGGAAUUCCUGGUGUAGCGGUGAAAUGCGCAGAUAUCAGGAGGAACACCGAUGGCGAAGGCAGGUCUCUGGGCCACUACUGACGCUGAGAAGCGAAAGCAUGGGGAGCGAACAGG